UCGGGCGUGGUGUACGGCACACGCUCCCCUCUGCUAAUAUUUCAUGCUGUGAAUGAGUGGGAGGCACCCAGGUUCGAUUCUUGGCGUCCGAA
Mycena epipterygia is the source of this 92-nucleotide non-coding RNA. The record is from the annotation of a GenBank genome assembly. Lineage: Eukaryota; Fungi; Basidiomycota; Agaricomycetes; Agaricales; Mycenaceae.